This is a long non-coding RNA of Anguilla rostrata (American eel), 1955 nucleotides long. RefSeq lists it as uncharacterized. The record is from RefSeq and is a predicted model, not a curated record. The transcript has 2 exons. NCBI's taxonomy places the organism in Eukaryota, Metazoa, Chordata, Actinopteri, Anguilliformes, Anguillidae.
CAAAAUAUGUUACAUUCAUAAUGGUGAACCACCCACAUUUUGAGACUUUAGGAACAAUCAAGUUUUUGAAUCAAUAACGUAAUCUCAUCGAAGGUGUGUUGACUUCGAUGCAUCCGCCAAGGCCUUCAAACCAUGAAGUCAAAAAGCUACUUGGGAGCAGUGGGCAGCCACAGUGCAGUGCCCGGGGACCAACUCCAGUCCGAAGGCUAAUGCCUUGGUCAAGGACAGGAGUAUACCUAACCUGACAUACAGUACAUGCCUUUUGGUGGUGGAGGAAACACGAGUAUCUGGAGGAAACCUGCGCAAACAAGGAAAAACAUGCAAACUCCAUGCUGAGAUGAUCCAGCGGGCCAGGAGUCGAACCUGGAACCACCCCCCUAUGAAGCAACUGUGUUAGCCACCAGUAUUUUGAGACAUUUUAGGUAUUUUGCCAUUCUGUUAUAUAAAUUUUAUUUCAUCAGUUUUAUUCCUAAUGUUUGAAGAAAAAACAGAAAAAUAAUACAAAUACAGUUGCCAGAGACAAAUUCUAAAUAUAAAAUGUAAAAGUCCUUACUUGCAAAAAGGCCCAGUCCUCAUGUUAAAACAUUCUCCAUGUUUAUUGCAGUAGUUGGGAUAUUUUUUACAAGGUCCAAAACACUUCCAACUGCCGUUAUCAACCUCAAUAGUGUAGUUAGCAAAAUGCAGGCUGCAGGUUACGUAAGGUCUUAGGUCUGUAAUAUCUGUUUAAAAAUACAAAGUACCAAAUCAAAUAAUUCCUCAGCAACUUAUGGAAAUUGCUUUGGAAUUGAAACACAUUUGAAAACUCACUGAGGUAUAGGUAUGCCUAGGGCUCAACCCCUCCAUAACAAACAAAGGAUCCCCCCAUAAGAAAGGGAAAAGUCAGAAUGCUGCCAGUCAGAAUCCUCCUAGGCAGAAUAGUCAUGAGGUUGUACAGAUACAGCCCUCUCACUCAUCUCCUGCUCCUCAAUUAACAUUACACAAUCAAGCUACAUACGUUUUUGUUCACAGAAUGUUUAUAAAUACAGUUCUCAAAAGUCACUAGAAAUGAGCAUUUAAGUGCUGUUUUUCAAAAAUUUGUUGUGGGGGAGGGGCAUGCCCCUGGCCCUUCAUAGCACUGAAGUGUCGGCUCAGUUGUCAAACACCCUUGAGCUCCAACAAAUAGUGUAAAAGUAUUGAUUUAACGCAUAUUGUAAAAAUAAUUAUUUCACACAAUUGCAACUACAAUUGAAAGAAAAAGUUUGUGAACCCUUUGGAAUGUCUUGGUUCACACACAUUCUUCCAACCUAGAUUGUGAAUGUUUAAAUGAUGCAUUCAGUAUUGACAAGAAGUACAGUAUUUGUUUGUUAUUAGUUUGUAUUAUUAUUAUUCGUUAUUAGUUCGUAACUAGAAUGUGUUUGUCUAUUAUUGUGACUAUUAUUGUGACUGAGAUCACAUUCAGACUACAUUUAAUGAGUAAUUAAUGUGGAAAUCCAGGUAAUUUCAAAGGGUUCACAAACUUUUUAUUGUGACUGUAUGUAUACUGGCAAAACAUGACAAGAAAAAAAAUUAACUACUCAUUUGGAAUUGCACAACAUGCUGUGACAAUAUUAGAGUAAAUAAAUUAGUCACUGUUACUUACUUAAAAUUUUGGUUGGCUGUGGAAUGAUUUCAACCAGUUCAAUUGUAACAUUUCCAAGGGCUUGAGUUAUAUUUUUGUAAUUGGUGAGGUUGUUGAAAAUACUCUCUAAUGUCAGCUCCAAUUCAUUGUUGAGAAAUGCAAUCUGUGAUGCAUUGUUGAGGUAGCUGUAUUCUGCGAGACUGUUGGCAAGAACACUUCCUCUCCUGUAAAACAAUUAAAUGUGAUUAAAAUAAAUAAAAUAAAUGUAAAAUAUAAGUUUGUUCAAAGUGUGGGUGUGCCCAUGCUCAGUCAUGUACACUUGUCUAUAAACUCAAUAAAAUUAUCUUGAGUCUGCCAA